UACGUAGGGCGCAAGCGUUGUCCGGAAUUAUUGGGCGUAAAGAGCUCGUAGGCGGCCAGUUGCGUCUGCUGUGAAAUCCCGGGGCUCAACCCCGGGCGUGCAGUGGAUACGGGCUGGCUAGAGGCAGGCAGGGGAGAACGGAAUUCCCGGUGUAGCGGUGAAAUGCGCAGAUAUCGGGAGGAACACCGGUGGCGAAGGCGGUUCUCUG
This 208-nucleotide ribosomal RNA is filed under the name uncultured bacterium. RNAcentral's name for it is "partial 16S ribosomal RNA". It matches the Rfam family "Bacterial small subunit ribosomal RNA", at positions 524 to 731 of the family's 1533-position model. The record is from RNAcentral.